Molecule: ribosomal RNA, 426 nt
Filed under: uncultured Chthoniobacter sp.
Lineage: Bacteria; Pseudomonadati; Verrucomicrobiota; Spartobacteria; Chthoniobacterales; Chthoniobacteraceae
Description: bacterial SSU rRNA
Rfam family: Bacterial small subunit ribosomal RNA
Source: RNAcentral
UCGAGAAUUUUUCUCAAUGGGGGAAACCCUGAAGGAGCGACGCCGCGUGGAGGAUGAAGGUCUUCGGAUUGUAAACUCCUGUCAUUUGGGAACAAUUGUUCGCGAUUAACUGUCGUGAACUUGAUAGUACCAGAAGAGGAAGAGACGGCUAACUCUGUGCCAGCAGCCGCGGUAAUACAGAGGUCUCAAGCGUUGUUCGGAUUCAUUGGGCGUAAAGGGUGCGUAGGUGGCGGGGUAAGUCAGGUGUGAAAUCUCGGGGCUCAACCUCGAAACUGCACUUGAUACUGCCUUGCUAGAGUAUUGGAGAGGAGAUUGGAAUUUACGGUGUAGCAGUGAAAUGCGUAGAUAUCGUAAGGAAGACCAGUGGCGAAGGCGAAUCUCUGGACAAUUACUGACACUGAGGCACGAAGGCCAGGGGAGCAAACG